UUAUGAGUAAUGUUGCUGUGUAUAUUCAUGUACAAGGUUUAUUUUAUUUAUUUUUUUUUGUUUUUGUUUUGUCCUCUCUGGGGCCUCACUUUUCUGUAAAGAAAGGGACAGAUACCACAGCACCAAAACGUUCCUCAGUGUGAUAGUGCCCCCAUGUGGUGUAGCAGUAGCUCAAACCUGGGUGGUGCACCUGGCAAAGCAGACACCCUCCCAGGAGCUGUGCUAUGGGUGCAUGCAUCGUGCCAAGGCCAACAGUCUGCUGUACUGCUGAGAGGAAACAUAAAAAAAGGAUUCAGAGACCAAGAAGAUUCUAUGGAGAUACCAGAUAAUGAAGACAAGGACACUGUGUUCAAGAACCAGCUUAUAUAAAUGCAUUGGGGAGGGGUUUGGAGGAUGAAGGAGGGUUUACUCUACUCUGUUGCAUGAGUGCAGGGAAGAA
Long non-coding RNA from Erinaceus europaeus (western European hedgehog), 439 nucleotides. RefSeq lists it as uncharacterized. The transcript is spliced from 3 exons. NCBI's taxonomy places the organism in Eukaryota, Metazoa, Chordata, Mammalia, Eulipotyphla, Erinaceidae. The record is from RefSeq and is a predicted model, not a curated record.